Molecule: RNA transcript, 1527 nt
Organism: Setaria italica (foxtail millet)
Lineage: Eukaryota; Viridiplantae; Streptophyta; Magnoliopsida; Poales; Poaceae
Exons: 7
Source: RefSeq, a predicted model, not a curated record
UCUGAAAAAGUGGCAUGUUUACUUACUUGAUGGGCUGGGCCACAUCGCAUCGCAUGACACUGGGGAGAAUACAAGGGGCCAGCUGUUCACUGGGCGGUCGGGCCAGCGGUUCGGGUCUUUUGCUUGCUGUCGAACCGCCGGUUCUGCGGCGACUCUUGGUCGCGUUGUGUUGUGUGUCUUCGUGCGGAAGCAAGCAACAAGCAGUAGUAGCGAGCGCAUUGACUGUCCUGUCCGGUCCGGCCAACCAAACCAGAGAGUCUGCUUCUUCUACCUCCCCUCCGCCGCCGCUCCUCCCAAUCCCAACAGAGGCGUGGAGAGGAGAGGAGGUGAGGAAGAGAGCCUCAGGCAUCCAUUCCAUGGCCUUGGGGGGCCUUCUGCGGGGCCUCGUUCCGCCGGCCGCCUGGCUGCCCUGCCACGAGCUCUUCGCCUCCUGGCACCACUGGCUCCCCUCGCUCCCGCGCCUCCGCCCGCCCGCCUCCGACGGAUUCAAGCUUCUCCUAGUGCUGCUCCUCUUCUCCGCCGCCCUGGCUGAGGUCCGCUACAUCGCCUCCUCCUCCAUGGCGCCCACGCUCCGGCCAGGCGACCGAGCCGUCGCCGAGAAGGUUACAUACUUAUUCCGGAGGCCAUCUAUUGGGGAUAUAGUGUUCUUCAAAGUGCCGACCGCCGUACAGAAUUAUGGUGUCAAUAAGGAUGUUGUAUUUAUUAAGAGGGUACUGGCAACACCUGGAGAUUUCAUUGAGGUUCGGCAGGGCCAACUUAUUGUAAAUGGUGUUGCACAAAAGGAGCAUUACACAGCAUCCCAUGCAUUGUACACAAUGGAAGCAAUGGUCCAGGGAUUUUCAAAGUGCUGUUAACAAAAGGGUUAACAGAUGUGACCAGAGAAUUUUCAUUCUCCACAAGAUGAUGAUCAAAAGUGGACUGGCUGCUCCAUGUUGUUGACUUCUUGAGUGCCUUGUUGUAAUCAACAGGCCUCAGAUGCGCCUUCCUGAAGGUCAUGUGUUUGUCAUGGGUGACAACCGAAAUAACAGCUGUGAUUCUCGUGCCUGGGGGCCUCUUCCCAUUGGCAACAUCGUUGGAAGGUACAUGACGUCCUUCACAAGAUCCUCUUUCCAGUAACUGAGGUGAAGAGGUGCGACCCAUCAUCUCCAGUGUUCCUGACGGCUGAUGCUGCUUCACAUCAAUAUAGUUACUAAGUUGUGCUGAGCCUGGAGCCACUCUGUUAUAUGUCUACUUGUGUGAGGACUUGCCCUCGAGUGUGCUGUAGCAUUGUUGUUGUACGUGAUGGCCUACUCCCAGCUGUGGUUGUAAAAGAGGUCACCUCUGCCGCUCGCUGUUGGCACGUGCCCUCAGGCUGUCGUGUGUUGAGCUUAUGAAUUACCUGUUGAUAUGUAUCUAAAACUUGGAAGAGGUUGCAUUGGGUUAUGAAGCUUAUCAGCGAUGACAAAUGCCAUAAUGCUUGAACCCAAUUUGUGCAAGAACCUUGGACAUGAUUGUGCAUUUGUUCCGGAUUGCGUGUUUUUCUUUUCA